RNAcentral lists this transfer RNA (77 nucleotides) under Antrihabitans stalagmiti. RNAcentral's name for it is "tRNA-Pro". It matches the Rfam family "tRNA". From Rfam's summary of the family: Transfer RNA (tRNA) molecules are approximately 80 nucleotides in length. Their secondary structure includes four short double-helical elements and three loops (D, anti-codon, and T loops). Lineage: Bacteria; Bacillati; Actinomycetota; Actinomycetes; Mycobacteriales; Nocardiaceae. The record is from RNAcentral. RNAcentral also lists the same sequence under 1 other name.
CGGGGUGUAGCGCAGCUUGGUAGCGCAUCCGCUUUGGGAGCGGAGGGCCGCAGGUUCAAAUCCUGUCACCCCGACCA